Non-coding RNA from Biomphalaria pfeifferi, 282 nucleotides. The record is from the annotation of a GenBank genome assembly. Lineage: Eukaryota; Metazoa; Mollusca; Gastropoda; Planorbidae.
CAAAAAAAAACAUUUAGCCAUGUGGUGCCCUAUCUCUUCUAUAUAAUUUACAAUCUCAUGUUUAAUUCAUGAUGGUUGUCACGUGACAGUUUUUUCCAUUGUUUUCUCAAUAAGAUCAAGUGACUAAAUGUUGUUUGUUUACGAUUGGUGAAUGAGGUCCAUUGUAUAAAUGUUCAUUAUAAUUUUUUAUGCAAAUUAAUAUGAACUUAGAUCUCAGUGAAAUUUGGUGGGGGUGGGGGAAGGGGGUCACUGAUCAGUAAUCAUAAAGAAAAAUUUAUUCUU